RNAcentral lists this transfer RNA (78 nucleotides) under Candidatus Bathyarchaeota archaeon. RNAcentral describes it as "tRNA-Met". It matches the Rfam family "tRNA". Rfam says of the family: Transfer RNA (tRNA) molecules are approximately 80 nucleotides in length. Their secondary structure includes four short double-helical elements and three loops (D, anti-codon, and T loops). Further hydrogen bonds mediate the characteristic L-shaped molecular structure. tRNAs have two regions of fundamental functional importance: the anti-codon, which is responsible for specific mRNA codon recognition, and the 3' end, to which the tRNAs corresponding amino acid is attached (by aminoacyl-tRNA synthetases). tRNAs cope with the degeneracy of the genetic code in two manners: having more than one tRNA (with a specific anti-codon) for a particular amino acid; and 'wobble' base-pairing, i.e. permitting non-standard base-pairing at the 3rd anti-codon position. The record is from RNAcentral. Lineage: Archaea; Thermoproteati; Candidatus Bathyarchaeota.
GGGCCCGUAGCUCAGCACGGCCAGAGCGCCAGGCUCAUAACCUGUUGGUCAAGGGUUCAAAUCCCUUCGGGCCCACCA